UACGUAGGGUGCGAGCGUUAAUCGGAAUUACUGGGCGUAAAGCGUGCGCAGGCGGCGCGUUAAGCCAGGUGUGAAAGCCCCGAGCUUAACUUGGGAAUUGCGCUUGUGACUGGCGAGCUGGAGUGUGGCAGAGGGAGGUGGAAUUCCACGUGUAGCAGUGAAAUGCGUAGAGAUGUGGAGGAACACCGAUGGCGAAGGCAGCCUCCUGGGCCAGCACUGACGCUCAUGCACGAAAGCGUGGGGAGCAAACAGG
RNAcentral lists this ribosomal RNA (253 nucleotides) under uncultured bacterium. RNAcentral describes it as "partial 16S ribosomal RNA". It matches the Rfam family "Bacterial small subunit ribosomal RNA", at positions 524 to 776 of the family's 1533-position model. The record is from RNAcentral.